GAUGAAGAACGCAGCGAAAUGCGAUAAGUAAUGUGAAUUGCAGAAUUCAGUGAAUCAUCGAAUCUUUGAACGCACAUUGCGCCCGCCAGUAUUCUGGCGAGCAUGCCUGUUCGAGCGUCAUUUCAACCAUCAAGCCCCAGGCUUGUGUUGGAGCCCUGCGGCUGCCGCAGCCUCCCAAAACCAGUGGCGGGCUCGCUAUCACACCGAGUGCAGUAGUCUACUCUUCGCUCAGGGCGUGUGGCGGGUGCUAGCCGUGAAACCCCCAACUUCUCAAGGUUGACCUCGGAUCAGGUAGGAAUACCCGCUGAACUUAAGCAUAUCAAUAAGCGGAGGA
This 334-nucleotide unclassified non-coding RNA is filed under the name soil metagenome. RNAcentral's name for it is "partial contains 5.8S ribosomal RNA, internal transcribed spacer 2, and large subunit ribosomal RNA". The stretch from base 1 to 120 matches the Rfam family "5.8S ribosomal RNA", at positions 35 to 154 of the family's 154-position model. The record is from RNAcentral.